This 598-nucleotide ribosomal RNA is filed under the name Hanseniaspora uvarum. Its description in RNAcentral is "eukaryotic LSU rRNA". It matches the Rfam family "Eukaryotic large subunit ribosomal RNA", at positions 45 to 657 of the family's 3401-position model. The record is from RNAcentral. Lineage: Eukaryota; Fungi; Ascomycota; Saccharomycetes; Saccharomycodales; Saccharomycodaceae.
AAUAGCGGAGGAAAAGAAACCAACUGGGAUUACCUUAGUAACGGCGAGUGAAGCGGUAAAAGCUCAAAUUUGAAAUCUGGUACUUUCAGUGCCCGAGUUGUAAUUUGUAGAAUUUGUCUUUGAUUAGGUCCUUGUCUAUGUUCCUUGGAACAGGACGUCAUAGAGGGUGAGAAUCCCGUUUGGCGAGGAUACCUUUUCUCUGUAAGACUUUUUCGAAGAGUCGAGUUGUUUGGGAAUGCAGCUCAAAGUGGGUGGUAAAUUCCAUCUAAAGCUAAAUAUUGGCGAGAGACCGAUAGCGAACAAGUACAGUGAUGGAAAGAUGAAAAGAACUUUGAAAAGAGAGUGAAAAAGUACGUGAAAUUGUUGAAAGGGAAGGGCAUUUGAUCAGACAUGGUGUUUUUUGCAUGCACUCGCCUCUCGUGGGCUUGGGCCUCUCAAAAAUUUCACUGGGCCAACAUCAAUUCUGGCAGCAGGAUAAAUCAUUAAGAAUGUAGCUACUUCGGUAGUGUUAUAGCUUUUUGGAAUACUGUUAGCCGGGAUUGAGGACUGCGCUUCGGCAAGGAUGUUGGCAUAAUAGGUUAAAUGCCGCCCGUCUUGA